RNAcentral lists this long non-coding RNA (243 nucleotides) under Elaeis guineensis (African oil palm). Its description in RNAcentral is "long non-coding RNA (EGUI_LNC014531)". Lineage: Eukaryota; Viridiplantae; Streptophyta; Magnoliopsida; Arecales; Arecaceae. The record is from RNAcentral.
CAUGCCCGAAAUUUUGUUUUCGAUUAUGGCAACCUGAAGAGUCUUUUCGGAACUCCCACCGAGAUGUGAUCCCAAGCAUCAUGCCAUGAAAAUUUGCGAACAGUCAAUCCUCGAUAGCGGUGAGUGGGACACACGGGACACGUGGCAAGCACCGGUUGGACUAAAGAUGCCCGCCAUCAUAAUUGUGCUGAUAUCCGCUGCCUAUUUAAACCCCCUACCCUUCCCUUGGGGCUUUACUCCACC